RNAcentral lists this ribosomal RNA (460 nucleotides) under uncultured bacterium. Its description in RNAcentral is "partial 16S ribosomal RNA". It matches the Rfam family "Bacterial small subunit ribosomal RNA", at positions 338 to 795 of the family's 1533-position model. The record is from RNAcentral.
CCUACGGGUGGCUGCAGUGAGGAAUAUUGGUCAAUGGACGAGAGUCUGAACCAGCCAAGUAGCGUGCAGGAUGACUGCCCUAUGGGUUGUAAACUUCUUUUAUAUGGGAAUAAAAUGUUCCACGUGUGGGAUUUUGUAUGUACCAUAUGAAUAAGGAUCGGCUAACUCCGUGCCAGCAGCCGCGGUAAUACGGAGGAUCCGAGCGUUUUCCGGAUUUAUUGGGUUUAAAGGGAGCGUAGGUGGAUUGUUAAGUCAGUUGUGAAAGUUUGCGGCUCAACCGUAAAAUUGCAGUUGAAACUGGCAGUCUUGAGUACAGUAGAGGUGGGCGGAAUUCGUGGUGUAGCGGUGAAAUGCUUAGAUAUCACGAAGAACUCCGAUUGCGAAGGCAGUUCACUGGACUGCAACUGACACUGAGGCUCGAAAGUGUGGGUAUCAAACAGGAUUAGAUACCCGAGUAGUC